CCAUGAACAGGGGAGAACAGAGGCAAAACCAGCCCCCCGAAUGAAAAGACGGACCAAACCAAAAAAAAAAAAUUGGUGUCCUUGGACGGGAGAUAGAGCUUGUUUGUUGAUGGAGCAAUGGAGAUGAGCUACAGACGAUAGAGCCAACAUCUCCACAAAAAAAAUGGACUUCAAAUGAGCUAAAGAGAGGAGAGGGGCUCGGCUUCAUUUUCUUGAAAAUCUGGACCAGCUUCAUCCAAACAAGAGAAGAUAGUCUCGAUUCCGUUCGACAAGGAGAACUUUGCGAUUUGACAAAUUCUGGCCAGCUGACAUGGCAGAAGAGAGGAGAGCGAGGCUGAGGCAGCGCUCUCGGUGAACUGGAGGUGAGCUUCCGAUUAUGAGCUAAGCGGCGAUCUCGAACUGGAGGAGGAACGGCGACGGAGGGAGGAAGAAGCUGAGAGGAAGAAGCCGAGCUCCCUGCUGGCUAUAGUUUUGGCCAAAUUGAAUGCAGGAGGUGAGAGACGCGCU
RNAcentral lists this long non-coding RNA (507 nucleotides) under Eucalyptus grandis. Its description in RNAcentral is "long non-coding RNA (EGRA_LNC003425)". Lineage: Eukaryota; Viridiplantae; Streptophyta; Magnoliopsida; Myrtales; Myrtaceae. The record is from RNAcentral.